GCGGGAUUCGUAUAAUGGUAAUACAUAAGCUUCCCAAGCUUGUAACACGGGUUCGAUUCCCGUAUCCCGCU
RNAcentral lists this transfer RNA (71 nucleotides) under Candidatus Omnitrophota bacterium. RNAcentral's name for it is "Candidatus Omnitrophica bacterium tRNA-Gly". It matches the Rfam family "tRNA". Rfam says of the family: Transfer RNA (tRNA) molecules are approximately 80 nucleotides in length. Their secondary structure includes four short double-helical elements and three loops (D, anti-codon, and T loops). Lineage: Bacteria; Pseudomonadati; Candidatus Omnitrophota. The record is from RNAcentral.